This 391-nucleotide long non-coding RNA is filed under the name Rattus norvegicus (Norway rat). Its description in RNAcentral is "long non-coding RNA NONRATT023752". The record is from RNAcentral. Lineage: Eukaryota; Metazoa; Chordata; Mammalia; Rodentia; Muridae.
GACGGGGAAGAGCGUCACACCGCCUGGGGCUUGUAUCUUCCCAGUGUGAAUGGGACAGGACAGGAGAUGGGGACCUGUGACCAGCCUCAUCCAGAUGCUGAAGGUUGAGCAUUCUAGUGCAGGAUAGACCAUUUCAGCCUCAGGAUCGGAACGUCAAUUAACGGCUGACACUGCCCCCCACCUCUUCCCACCCAUCUGGGCUCCAGCGAGGAACGGAUCUCGGGGUACACCAUGAUCUUGCCAUUUUUAGUACUGGCCAUCGGCACCUGCCUUACCAACUCAUUUGUGCCAGAGAAAGAGAAAGACCCCAGUUACUGGCGACAGCAAGCCCAAGAGACCUUGAAAAAUGCCCUGAAACUCCAAAAACUCAACACCAACGUGGCCAAGAACA